Non-coding RNA from Pteropus alecto (black flying fox), 47 nucleotides. Lineage: Eukaryota; Metazoa; Chordata; Mammalia; Chiroptera; Pteropodidae. The record is from Rfam.
CCAAAGGCUCUUUUCAGAGCCGCCCCACUCGUCACGAAAAGAACUGU